GAUGAACGCUGGCGGCGUGCCUAAUACAUGCAAGUCGAGCGAACGGACGAGAAGCUUGCUGUUCUGAUGUUAGCGGCGGACGGGUGAGUAACACGUGGAUAACCUACCUAUAAGACUGGGAUAACUUCGGGAAACCGGAGCUAAUACCGGAUAAUAUUUUGAACCGCAUGGUUCAAAAGUGAAAGACGGGCUUGCUGUCACUUAUAGAUGGAUCCGCGCUGCAUUAGCUAGUUGGUAAGGUAACGGCUUACCAAGGCAACGAUGCAUAGCCGACCUGGGAGGGUGAUAGGCCACACUGGAACUGAGACGCGGUCCAGACUCCUGCGGGAGGCAGCAGUAGGGAAUCUUCCGCAAUGGGCGGAAGCCUGGCGGAGCAACGCCGCGUGAGUGAUGAAGGUCUUCGGAUCGUGAAACUCUGUUAUUAGGGAAGAACAUAUGUGUAAGUAACUGUGCACAUCUUGACGGUACCUAAUCAGGAAGCCACGGCUAACUACGUG
Molecule: ribosomal RNA, 497 nt
Filed under: uncultured bacterium
Lineage: Bacteria
Description: partial 16S ribosomal RNA
Rfam family: Bacterial small subunit ribosomal RNA
Source: RNAcentral